Molecule: ribosomal RNA, 478 nt
Filed under: uncultured bacterium
Lineage: Bacteria
Description: bacterial SSU rRNA
Rfam family: Bacterial small subunit ribosomal RNA
Source: RNAcentral
GGACGGGUGAGUAACACGUAGGCAACCUACCCAUCAGACUGGGAUAACCGCGGGAAACCGUGGCUAAUACCGGAUGACCCUUCGAAACACAAGUUUUGAAGUUGAAAGGCGCUUUUGGUGCCGUUGAUGGAUGGGCCUGCGGCGCAUUAGCUAGUUGGUGAGAUAACGGCUCACCAAGGCGACGAUGCGUAGCCGACCUGAGAGGGUGAUCGGCCACACUGGGACUGAGACACGGCCCAGACUCCUACGGGAGGCAGCAGUAGGGAAUCUUCCGCAAUGGACGAAAGUCUGACGGAGCAACGCCGCGUGAGUGAAGAAGGGUUUCGGCUCGUAAAACUCUGUUGUUAAGGAAGAAUGGCACAUGGCGUAACUACCAUGUGUGUGACGGUACUUAACCAGAAAGCCACGGCUAACUACGUGCCAGCAGCCGCGGUAAUACGUAGGUGGCAAGCGUUAUCCGGAAUUAUUGGGCGUAAAG